GAUGAACGCUGGCGGCGUGCCUAAUACAUGCAAGUCGAGCGAACGGACGAGAAGCUUGCUUCUCUGAUGUUAGCGGCGGACGGGUGAGUCACACGUGUAUAACCUACCUAUAAGACUGGGAUAACUUCGGGAAACCGGAGCUAAUACCGGAUAAUAUUUUGAACCGCAGGGGUCGAAAGUAAAAGACGGUCGUGCGGUCACUUCUAGCUGGAUCCGCGCUGCAUUAGCUAGUUGGUAAGGUAACGGCCUACCAAGGCAACGAUGCAUAGCCGAACGGACAGACGGAUAGGCGACCUGGGAAGUGAGACAGGGACCAUACGACUAAGGGAGGGAGCAGUCGCCAACGUUCCGCAAUAGGCGGGAGCAUGACGGAGUAAGGCGGCGUGAGUGAUGAAGGUGUCGCGAUCGUGAUGCUCUGCUAUUAGGGAUGAACAGCUGUCUCCGUAGAUGAAGACAUAGUGACGGUACCUAGUCAAGAAGCACCGGCUAACUACGUG
Molecule: ribosomal RNA, 497 nt
Filed under: uncultured bacterium
Lineage: Bacteria
Description: partial 16S ribosomal RNA
Rfam family: Bacterial small subunit ribosomal RNA
Source: RNAcentral